ACGCCUUAUACAUGCAAGUCGAACGAAGUAGCAAUACUUAGUGGCAGACGGGUGAGUAACAUGUGGGUAUCUUCCCUUUGGUGAGGAAUAACACGAGGAAACUUGUGCUAAUACCUCAUAAGUCUUUACGGAGAAAGCUUUAUGCGCCAAUGGAUGAGCCCGCACUUGAUUAGUUUGUUGGUGGGGUAAUGGCCUACCAAGACUUUGAUCAAUAGCUGAUCUGAGAGGAUGAUCAGCCACAUUGGGACUGAGACACGGCCCAAACUCCUACGGGAGGCAGCAGUAGGGAAUAUUGCACAAUGGAGGAAACUCUGAUGCAGCGAUGCCGCGUGAGUGAAGAAGGCCCUUGGGUUGUAAAGCUCUUUCGUCGGGGAAGAAAAUGACUGUACCCGAAUAAGAAGGUCCGGCUAACUUCGUGCCAGCAGCCGCGGUAAUACGAAGGGACCUAGCGUAGUUCGGAAUUACUGGGCUUAAAGAGUUCGUAGGUUGUUAAAAAAGUUGGUUGUGAAAUCCCGAAGCUUAACUUCGGAACUGCAAUCAAAACUUUUUAGCUAGAGUAUGAUAGAGGAAAGCAGAAUUUCUAGUGUAGAGGUGAAAUUCGUAGAUAUUAGAAAGAAUACCAAUUGCGAAGGCAGCUUUCUGGAUCAUUACUGACACUGAGGAACGAAAGCAUGGGUAGCGAAGAGGAUUAGAUACCCUCGUAGUCCAUGCCGUAAACGAUGUGUGUUAGACGUUGGAAAUUAUUUUCAGUGUCGCAGCGAAAGCAUUAAACACACCGCCUGGGGAGUACGAC
This 793-nucleotide ribosomal RNA is filed under the name uncultured Pelagibacteraceae bacterium. RNAcentral describes it as "bacterial SSU rRNA". It matches the Rfam family "Bacterial small subunit ribosomal RNA", at positions 44 to 886 of the family's 1533-position model. The record is from RNAcentral. Lineage: Bacteria; Pseudomonadati; Pseudomonadota; Alphaproteobacteria; Candidatus Pelagibacterales; Candidatus Pelagibacteraceae.